RNAcentral lists this long non-coding RNA (639 nucleotides) under Oreochromis niloticus (Nile tilapia). Its description in RNAcentral is "lncRNA (ENSONIG00000029120.1)". The record is from RNAcentral. Lineage: Eukaryota; Metazoa; Chordata; Actinopteri; Cichliformes; Cichlidae.
UUUUAAGCCUUUUCACCUCUUAUCAGCACAAUUCUCAGCAGCUUCUGCUCAUUUCAGCAGAAUUGUCAGUCUGUCCACCUCUUCUCUGUGAGAAUGUGUUUGGGUCAGUGAGAUGAGUAGCUGCUUUGAGUCUGGUAGGGCCAGGUUCGAAUCCUGCUCAGGGCAACAUUUUUUUUUCACCACCAUACAACUUUUUGCAACUUUUCAUCUUUUUCAGCUUUUCAGCAGACAGCUUCAGCGUUAAGGCAUCCACACAGCAUUUUCGCAGGAAAUGCAAAUUUUUCUAGUUCUUUAUUGUGUGGAUGCUUUAAGGCAAAAUUUUCAGCCUUUUCACCUCUUAUCAGCACAAUUGUCAGCAGCUUCUGCUCAUUUCAGCAGAAUUGUCCGUCUCUCCACCUCUUCUUUGUAAGAAUGACUUUGGCUCAGGGAAAUGAAUAGCCGCCUUUGAGCAGAAAUUCUGCUGAUUCAUCUCUUUUCAGCGCAACUUAUUGCUUCUUUACCUCUUUUCUGCAGAAAUUCUGCUGAUUCACCUCUUUUCUGCAAAAUUUUCAGCCUUUUCACGUCUUCUCAGCACAAUUCUCAGCAGCUUCUGCUCUAUUUAGCAAAAUUGUCAGUUUCUCCAUCUCUUGUUUUUGAGAG